Molecule: ribosomal RNA, 301 nt
Filed under: uncultured bacterium
Lineage: Bacteria
Description: partial 16S ribosomal RNA
Rfam family: Bacterial small subunit ribosomal RNA
Source: RNAcentral
CAGCAGCCACGGUAAUACGAAGGGUGCAAGCGUUACUCGGAAUUACUGUGCGUAAAGCGUGCGUAGGUGGUGGUUUAAGUCCGUUGUGAAAGCCCUGGGCUCAACCUGGGAAUUGCAGUGGAUACUGGGUCACUAGAGUGUGGUAGAGGAUAGUGGAAUUUCCGGUGUAGCAGUGAAAUGCGUAGAGAUCGGAAGGAACAUCUGUGGCGAAGGCGACUAUCUGGGCCAACACUGACACUGAGGCACGAAAGCGUGGGGAGCAAACAGGAUUAGAUACCCCUGUAGUCCCUGUCUCUUAUAC